This 484-nucleotide ribosomal RNA is filed under the name uncultured bacterium. RNAcentral describes it as "partial 16S ribosomal RNA". It matches the Rfam family "Bacterial small subunit ribosomal RNA", at positions 30 to 507 of the family's 1533-position model. The record is from RNAcentral.
AUUGAACGCUGGCGGCAGGCCUAACACAUGCAAGUCGAGCGGAUGAAGGGAGCUUGCUCCUGGAUUCAGCGGCGGACGGGUGAGUAAUGCCUAGGAAUCUGCCUGGUAGUGGGGGAUAACGUCCGGAAACGGGCGCUAAUACCGCAUACGUCCUGAGGGAGAAAGUGGGGGAUCUUCGGACCUCACGCUAUCAGAUGAGCCUAGGUCGGAUUAGCUAGUUGGUGGGGUAAAGGCCUACCAAGGCGACGAUCCGUAACUGGUCUGAGAGGAUGAUCAGUCACACUGGAACUGAGACACGGUCCAGACUCCUACGGGAGGCAGCAGUGGGGAAUAUUAGACAAUGGGCGAAAGCCUGAUCCAGCCAUGCCGCGUGUGUGAAGAAGGUCUUCGGAUUGUAAAGCACUUUAAGUUGGGGGGAAGGGCAGUAAGUUAAUACCUUGCUGUUUUGACGUUACCAACAGAAUAAGCACCGGCUAACUUCGUG